This is a long non-coding RNA of Betta splendens (Siamese fighting fish), 719 nucleotides long. RefSeq lists it as uncharacterized. The record is from RefSeq and is a predicted model, not a curated record. NCBI's taxonomy places the organism in Eukaryota, Metazoa, Chordata, Actinopteri, Anabantiformes, Osphronemidae. The transcript has 2 exons.
CGAGCACACGCACCGCUGGUCGGUGCGGCAGUACAGCCGCAGCGCCUUGUCGUGCUGCGGGCACAGCGCCUCCGCCUGCUCGCCCGGAGCCGGGAUCAGCUGGUGGGACUUCCCGUGGAAGCGCUCGUCGUGGGCUCGGAGACGCUGCACACGUCGGGGUUGAGCAGGCGGCUCCGCUGGAACGUUUCCACCACUUCGCCCAGGACCGUGUUCCGGCUCAGCUGGGGUCUGGGGCUGAACACCCUGCGGCACUGGGGGCAGCUGCUGUGGCCCCUCUGCUUCGGCCGGUCCCAGUACUCUUCGAUGCAGUCCAGGCAGUAGCUGUGGCCGCACGGGACCGUGACCGGGUCCCGCAGGAUCUCCAGACACACCGGGCAACUGAACUGGUCCUGUUCGAUGGAAAUGGUUGCUGCUGCCAUUUUGCUUCGCAGGUGGAGUGUUGGGCGUAGCACAGGUGAUGAGGUUCCGGUUCCAGCUGCCGCACCCACAAGCCUCCAAUCACAGUGAGCGGAACAAAGUAGACCUGCAGGCGUCACCUGUGCAGGUGUUCACGUUUACACACACACACGGACACACACCAGUCUGUUUUGUUUGCUUUUAAUGUCAGCAAGUCACUAAUCACAAUGUGCUGCCACUGUCUGUCUGCAAAGCAAUAUAACCAUUAAAAUGAAAAGUAUUUAAAAAAGCAAAGCUACAUAAAUUUAAAUUAUAAAUACUGA